RNAcentral lists this ribosomal RNA (253 nucleotides) under uncultured bacterium. RNAcentral describes it as "partial 16S ribosomal RNA". It matches the Rfam family "Bacterial small subunit ribosomal RNA", at positions 524 to 776 of the family's 1533-position model. The record is from RNAcentral.
UACAGAGGUCUCGAACGUUAGGCGGAAUCACUGGGCUUAAAGCGUGUGUAGGCGGAUCGUUAAGUGCCUUGUGAAAUCCCACGGCUCAACCGUGGAACUGCUUGGCAUACUGGCGGUCUUGAGCAACCUAGGGGCGAGCGGAACAAAUGGUGGAGCGGUGAAAUGCGUAGAUAUCAUUUGGAACGCCAAUGGUGAAAACAGCUCGCUGGGGGUUUGCUGACGCUGAGACACGAAAGCCAGGGGAGCAAACGGG